UAAUACGUAGGGUGCGAGCGUUAAUCGGAAUUACUGGGCGUAAAGCGUGCGCAGGUGGUUUCGUAAGCUGGAGGUGAAAUCCCCGGGCUUAACCUGGGAAUGGCCUUCAGGACUGCGAGGCUAGAGUGCGGCAGAGGGAGGUGGAAUUCCACGUGUAGCAGUGAAAUGCGUAGAUAUGUGGAGGAACACCGAUGGCGAAGGCAGCCUCCUGGGCCAGCACUGACGCUCAUGCACGAAAGCGUGGGGAGCAAACAGGAUUAGAUACCCUGGUAGUCCACGCCCUAAACGAUGUCAACUAGGUGUUGGGGAAGGUGACUUCCUUAGUACCGCAGCUAACGCGUGAAGUUGACCGCCUGGGGAGUACGGCCGCAAGGUUA
This 377-nucleotide ribosomal RNA is filed under the name uncultured bacterium. RNAcentral describes it as "bacterial SSU rRNA". It matches the Rfam family "Bacterial small subunit ribosomal RNA", at positions 521 to 896 of the family's 1533-position model. The record is from RNAcentral.